GAUGAAGAACGUAGUGAAAUGCGAUAAGUAAUGUGAAUUGCAGAAUUCAGUGAAUCAUCGAAUCUUUGAACGCACAUUGCGCCCGCCAGUAUUCUGGCGGGCAUGCCUGUCUGAGCGUCAUUUCAACCCUCAUGCCCCUAGGGCGUGGUGUUGGGGAUCGGCCAAAGCCCGCGAGGGACGGCCGGCCCCUAAAUCUAGUGGCGGACCCGUCGUGGCCUCCUCUGCGAAGUAGUGAUAUUCCGCAUCGGAGAGCGACGAGCCCCUGCCGUUAAACCCCCAACUUUCCAAGGUUGACCUCAGAUCUGGUAGGAAUACCCGCUGAACUUAAGCAUAUCAAUAAGCGGAGGA
Molecule: unclassified non-coding RNA, 348 nt
Filed under: soil metagenome
Description: partial contains 5.8S ribosomal RNA, internal transcribed spacer 2, and large subunit ribosomal RNA
Rfam family: 5.8S ribosomal RNA (bases 1-120)
Source: RNAcentral